RNAcentral lists this ribosomal RNA (1451 nucleotides) under uncultured fungus. Its description in RNAcentral is "eukaryotic LSU rRNA". The stretch from base 771 to 1451 matches the Rfam family "Eukaryotic large subunit ribosomal RNA", at positions 1 to 703 of the family's 3401-position model. Lineage: Eukaryota; Fungi. The record is from RNAcentral.
AGUCGUAACAAGGUUUUCCUUCCGGUUAAAAAAUUUAGCUGCCGAAGCCUUUCACGCCGACUUAAAAAUGCGUGGAGUCUUGCCUUUUCAAGGUGAAGACAAUACCGCUGAAAUGCUGUGAUCACGUAAGUGUACCAGCAGCCUAACAUUACUUAGGCCCACAGAUCAAGUGGCGGUGGUCGAUAGCUAAAGCUAGAGACUAUAAUAUGACCGGUCCUAACCUUAAACGGUUAAGAAUCCAUGUUCCGUAGGUGAACCUGCGGAAGGAUCAUUACUGAGUUAGGGUCUUCCAGGCCUGACCUUCAACCCUUUGUAUAACUACCAUGUUGCUUUGGCGGGCCCGUCUUCAACCGGACCGUCGGAGGUCUUCGACCUCUGGCCAGCGCUUGCCAGUAGCCCUUAACGAAACUCUUUUAACCAUGUGAAAUCUGAAAAUAAUUAAAUAAACUAAAACUUUCAACAACGGAUCUCUUGGUUCUGGCAUCGAUGAAGAACGCAGCGAAAUGCGAUAAGUAAUGCGAAUUGCAGAAUUCAGUGAGUCAUCGAAUCUUUGAACGCACAUUGCGCCCUUUAGUAUUCUGAAGGGCAUGCCUGUUCGAGCGUCAUUAUUAGUAAAUCAAGCCUGGCUUGCUGUUGGACCUUUUGUCGUUAAAAGACAGGUCCUAAAGAUAAUGACGGCGUCAGUUGGACCCUAGAUGCAACGAGCUUUAACUAGCACGCGUCUUGGUUGGUCCUUUUGACCCGGUCUUUUUUAACCAAUUUUUCAAGGUUGACCUCGGAUCAGGUAGGAAUACCCGCUGAACUUAAGCAUAUCAAUAAGCGGAGGAAAAGAAACCAACAGGGAUUACCUCAGUAACGGCGAGUGAAGCGGUAAUAGCUCAAAUUUGAAAUCUGGCUCNNCAGGGUCCGAGUUGUAAUUUGUAGAGGAUGUUUCGGGCACAGUUACGGUUUAAAUUUCUUGGAACAGAAUGUCAUAGAGGGUGAGAGUCCCGUCUUGAACCGAUUACUUCGUCCAUGUGAAACUCCUUCGACGAGUCGAGUUGUUUGGGAAUGCAGCUCAAAAUGGGUGGUAAAUUUCAUCUAAAGCUAAAUAUUGGCCAGAGACCGAUAGCGCACAAGUAGAGUGAUCGAAAGAUGAAAAGCACUUUGAAAAGAGAGUUAAACAGUAUGUGAAAUUGUUGAAAGGGAAGCGCUUGUAAUCAGACUUGAGCUUAACAGUUCCCCCUUCGUUCUCGUUGGGUUAUUCUGUUCUGUCCAGGCCAACAUCAGUUCGAGUGGUUGGUUAAAGACUUUAGGAAUGUAUCUACCCCUCGGGGUCGACUUAUAGCCUAGAGUGUCAUGCAGCCUACUUGGACUGAGGAACGCGCUUCGGCUCGGAUGUUGGCGUAAUGGUUAUAAGCGACCCGUCUUGAAACACGGACCAAAUCGGCGGCUAAGAAACAAGGGCGAAU